RNAcentral lists this ribosomal RNA (930 nucleotides) under Chilostomella sp. AtlMed. Its description in RNAcentral is "bacterial SSU rRNA". It matches the Rfam family "Eukaryotic small subunit ribosomal RNA", at positions 1197 to 1778 of the family's 1831-position model. Lineage: Eukaryota; Foraminifera; Rotaliida; Chilostomellidae. The record is from RNAcentral.
GACUCAACGCGGGAAAUCUUACCGGGUCCGGACACACUGAGGAUUGACAGGCAAUAUUAAUACAUCAGUUCUUUUUUAUUAAAGUCUGUGUAUUAUGUUAAAUAUGCUAGUCCUUUCAUGAUUAUGUGAUAGGUGGUGCAUGGCCGUUCUUAGUUCGUGGAGUGAUCUGUCUGCUUAAUUGCGUUUCACUAAGGGCCUAUAAAUUUACGUGUGUUGCGGCACUUUGACCCCUCUCUGAGCGCGCGUCUUAGUUUGCUUUGCUCGCACAAUUAGGUCCUGAAAGCAACGAACGUGACCGCAACCUCUUGUUGCCUUUAUUCCAAACAUGUUUGCCAUUUUAAAUGGUAUUCAUGAAAAAAGGCUUUUUAAACUAGAGGGACCGCUGUUACUUUCUUAAACCAGAGGAAGGUUGCGGCAAUAACAGGUCUGUGAUGCCCUUAGAUGUUCCGGGCUGCACACGUGCUACAAUGAUUAUUGCAGUGAGCAUCUCAUUUUUACACACCGCAUGCGCGAGUCCAUUUAUUCACCUCUCUGAGGCGCUUUAAAUGUGUACCUCUGCGCGCGGUAAAGCCUGCUUCGAGAGUAAGUGGGUAAUCAAUUAGAAGUAAUGAUUUCCUUUUUAGCACACAUAUAUACGGCGUCUAUGCCCGGGCUGCCUUGUUGUAGCUUUUGUGCGUAUAGAUGUUUUUUCCGUAUGUGCGAUUGUCAAUUCAUGGUGGGGACAGACCAUUGUUAAUUGUUGGUCUCGGUCUUAACUAGGAAUGCCUUGUACGGGUCUUUGGUUCAACAAACCACCCGGAAUACGUCCCUGCCCUUUGUACACACCGCCCGUCGCUCUUACCGAUGGACUUCUCUGUGAGUUUGAGGGACUGGGAACGCAGAUUUUAUCUGCACACCUAUGGAAACUUAAACGAACAGUGUGGUCUAAAG